This 3401-nucleotide ribosomal RNA is filed under the name marine sediment metagenome. Its description in RNAcentral is "bacterial LSU rRNA". It matches the Rfam family "Bacterial large subunit ribosomal RNA". The record is from RNAcentral.
ACCAUGACAAAACUUUUGACAAUCACGCGCUUCUAGCGAAUUUAGAUAAAUUGCACAGACAAUGGCGCAUUCGAAAGAAUGUACGCGGAACGGAUGAAAAUCCGGCAUAGAAGACAACCCAUAAUAAGCAAGAUCGCAACUUGUUCGCGUGAGAAAGUCAUUUCAUUAAUUGGAGAUUUUUUAGUGAUUUUGGUGGUGCACCGGGGGUUGUAGGACCGCGAUGUGGUAUGUAGAAGCUUAGCCAAAGUGGGCUGGAAAGCCCCACCGAAGAGGGUGAUAGUCCCGUAGGCGAAAGGCUGAUAUGGCCUAGCGGUAUCCUGAGUACCAUGGGACACGAGAAAUCCUGUGGGAAUCUGGGGGGACCACCCUCCAAGGCUAAAUAUCUUCCGAUGACCGAUAGUGAACCAGUACCGUGAGGGAAAGGUGAAAAGAACCCCGGCGAGGGGAGUGAAAUAGAACCUGAAACCGUGUGCCUACAAGCUAUCGGAGCGGGACUUCGGUCCCGUGACGGUGUGCCUUUUGAUUAAUGAGCCGGCGAGUUACUGGCUGUGGCGAGGUUAAGUCUUUACGGGACGGAGCCGCAGGGAAACCGAGUCUGAACAGGGCGAAUGAGUCACGGUCAGUAGACCCGAAGCCAGGUGAUCUACCCAUGGUCAGGGUGAAGUGCGGGUAAAACCGCAUGGAGGCCCGAACCGUUGUUCGUUGCAAAGAGCUCGGAUGAACUGUGGGUAGGGGUGAAAGGCCAAUCAAACCUGGUGAUAGCUGGUACUCCCCGAAAUGUAUUUAGGUACAGCCUCGAGUUAAUAUCUGCGUGGGGGUAGGGCACUGGAUGGGCUAGGGGGCCUCACAGCCUACCAAACCCAACCAAACCUCGAAUACCGCGUAUGAGUUUCUCGGGAGUGAGACUGCGGGUGCUAAGAUUCGUAGUCGAGAGGGAAACAGCCCAGACCGUCAGCUAAGGUCCCCAAGACAGUGCUAAGUGGGAAAGGAUGUGGUGUUGCCCAGACAGCCAGGAGGUUGGCUUAGAAGCAGCCACCCUUUAAGGAAAGCGUAACAGCUCACUGGUCAAGCGACACUGCGCCGAAAAUGUAACGGGGCUCAAGCACUGCACCGAAGCUACGGGACUAGAGACUAGAUACUAGAGACUGGAAACUAGGAGAAGAUUCAUGCCAUACCAUCGACUUGACGUAUAUCGCAAGGCGUAUGAUCUGGCUUUGGAAGUCCACCGCAAGAGCGUGGAGUUUCCCAAGCAGGAGCAAUACGAACUGGCGCAGCAGUUAAGGAAGUCGAGCAAGUCCAUCGCGGCUAAUAUAGCCGAAGGGAUGGGCAAGCAGGAGAGCAAGGCCGACGUAAGGCGUUUUAUACGCAUUGCGGUUGGUUCUUGUGAUGAGUGCAGGGUAUGGUUGGAUUUCGCAAGAGACCUUGGUUACAUAAGCCCUAAGGAGCACGAUGCAUUAGACGCACGCUAUCGUGAAGUUGGGCGGAUGUUGACCGGGUUAUUGAAGCGAUAUGGACAGGACAAAUCAAAGGACAAAUGAGGAUUUUUUCUUAUUGGAGCUUUUGUCUUUUGAGUUUGAAGUUUAAGUGCCUAUAGCUUUAAGAGCCUUUUGUUUAAGGUUUUAAGCUUUUGAGGCUUUAAGACUUUAAGGUUUUGUCUUUUGUUUUAGCUUCUUCUAGUAUCUGUUUUCUAGUAUCUAGUCUCUAGUCGGUAGGGGAGCAUUGCGUGGACUGUUGAAGGUGUGGCGUGAGCCAUGCUGGAGGGGACGCAAGAGAGUAUGCCGGCAUAAGUAGCGUAAAUUCUGAUGAAAAGUCAGGACGCCGAAAGCCUAAGGUUUCCUGGGGAAGGCAAAUCCGCCCAGGGUUAGUCGGGCCUAAGACGAGGCCGAAGGGCGUAGUCGAUGGACAACUGGUUAAUAUUCCAGUACCGCUCGCAUGGUGUUUGACCGAAGGGGGGACGCAGUAGGAUAGAUCGAGCCUGGUGAUGGUUCAGGUCCAAGUACCGAGGCUGGUGCGUAGGCAAAUCCGCGCGCCAUUAAGGCUGAGGUACGAUGGGGAAAGCAAUUGCGCUGAACUCGAUUGAUUUCACACUGACGAGAAAAACCUCGUAGGGAAUCAUGUGUGCGCCCGUACCGCAAACCGACACAGGUAGGCAAGUAGAGGAUACUAAGGCGUUCGAGUUAACUCUCGCUAAGGAACUCGGCAAAUUAACCCCGUAACUUCGGGAGAAGGGGUCCUCACGCAAGUGAGGCGCAGUGACAUGGCCCAGGCGACUGUUUACCAAAAACAUAGGUGUCUGCUAACUCGAAAGAGGAUGUAUAGACACUGACGCCUGCCCGGUGCCGGAAGGUUAACAGGAGGGGUUAGGCUUCGGGCGAAGCUCUGAAUCGAAGCCCCGGUAAACGGCGGCCGUAACUAUAACGGUCCUAAGGUAGCGAAAUUCCUUGUCGGGUAAGUUCCGACCUGCACGAAUGGCGUAACGAUCUGGGCGCUGUCUCGGCGAGAGACUCGGCGAACUUGAGAUACCGGUGAAGACGCCGGUUACCCGCAGCAAGACGGAAAGACCCCGUGCACCUUUACUGCAGCUUGGCAGUGAGUUUUGGUUAUGUAUGUGUAGGAUAGGUGGGAGGCUAUGAAGUCCCGGCGCUAGCUGGGGUGGAGCCAACCUUGAAAUACCACCCUUAUAUGAUUGGGACUCUAACCUGCUCCCGUAAUCCGGGAGAGGGACACUGUCUGGCGGGUAGUUUGACUGGGGCGGUCGCCUCCCAAAGAGUAACGGAGGCGCCCAAAGGUCUCCUCAGGCUGGACGGAAACCAGCCUUUGAGUGCAAAGGCAUAAGGAGGCUUGACUGUGAGACCGACAGGUCGAGCAGGUGCGAAAGCAGGGCUUAGUGAUCCGGUGGUUCCGCGUGGAAGGGCCAUCGCUCAACGGAUAAAAGGUACGCCGGGGAUAACAGGCUGAUAGCAUCCAAGAGUUCAUAUCGACGAUGCUGUUUGGCACCUCGAUGUCGGCUUAUCACAUCCUGGGGCUGAAGCAGGUCCCAAGGGUUCGGCUGUUCGCCGAUUAAAGUGGUACGCGAGCUGGGUUCAGAACGUCGUGAGACAGUUCGGUCCCUAUCUGCUGUGGGCGUAGGAGAUUUGAGAGGAGCUGUCCCUAGUACGAGAGGACCGGGAUGGACGGACCUCUGGUGUUCCGGUUGUCAUGCCAGUGGCAACGCCGGGUAGCCAUGUCCGGUUGGGAUAAACGCUGAAAGCAUCUAAGCGUGAAGCCCGCCUCGAGAUUAGAUCUCCCUGUGGCUUCGUGCCACCUGAAGGUCCGUGGAAGACUACCACGUUGAUAGGCUGGAAGUGUAAGCAUGGCGACAUGUUCAGCUUACCAGUACUAAUAGACCGUGAGGCUUGACC